This is a long non-coding RNA of Lutra lutra (Eurasian river otter), 2707 nucleotides long. RefSeq lists it as uncharacterized. The record is from RefSeq and is a predicted model, not a curated record. NCBI's taxonomy places the organism in Eukaryota, Metazoa, Chordata, Mammalia, Carnivora, Mustelidae. The transcript has 4 exons.
UGACUCCCGCCCGCCUACUCGCCUGCGCCUUCCUUCCGUCCCCGGAAUCCGACGCAGUCUCCCCGCGGAGCCUCCCCCGUGCGGCGCCCGAUCGGGACGCGGCGGAACGGAGCUGUCCGUGGUUCCCGCCUGGGCGAGGGGACGGAGCACGUCCCGCGUGCUGGAGCGCAGCCCGGGAGCCGGUAAUGUCCUCGGAUGGAAACGGAUUCAUUCUACUGUCACUCGUGACAGGCAGACGUCAGGCCACCUCCUCUCCGGUCGCCUGGCCACCUCCUUACCAACUCCUGUCCUUGCUGCGCGCUCAGAGACUGGAUAUAUUUAUUUACUGAGGGAAAGAACAGAAGGAGAGGAAGAGAGACUCUCAAGUGGACUCUACGGUGAUUGCAGAGGCCCACAUGGGGCUCCAUCCCAAGACCCUGAGAUCAUGACCUGAGGCACCCAGGUGCCCCUGUUGUUUUUUGUUUUGCUUUGUUUCAAUGAGCUAACCCUACGGGGAGGAGCUUCCCCUUUAACUCUGGGUUCAUCAUUUACAUUGAGGGCCCCAAGGGCAGGUGUACAUGAAGGAGAGGACCACCCAAAGCCACAGAGAGGAGCCUGGGAGCGCUCCCUCUUGGAUGGUGCCCUGGGACCCUGCACCCUGAUGGAUCUGCUCUCCCCUGCUAGAACCUGUGACCCGGCAGAGCUCCGGACCGCAACCUCACAUCUCCUGAUGGGGCGGCCAUCGAGCACUGGAGCUGGGUCCCUCCUCCCAGACUGGGACAUCCUGACUCAGUUUCCCCACGGAGCUCCCCCUUGUCCAGAGCUGGGACAGAGGGGAUAGGUCUGAACGGGACAGGAGGGCCUGGGGGCUUCUGGUGUUGGGAGUCAGUGUGGGAAUGAGGUCCUCAUGGCUCUGUGUCCUUCCUCUUAAGAACAGAGACACUCAGCGAUGACGUCACCGCAUGCAAGGCAGGGCCGAGCUGUUUUGACUUGUGACCUUUGAUACACUGAGGCCUGGCCCUGCCCCCCUGCACCUCUGGAGCUUGACCAAGUGUGCCCUGCAACCCAUUUCUUACCACACUGUUAUCAGGCUCUCUCCACACAGGAGUCCUGAAGUUUGGGUCCCCUCCAACACCGAGGAAACAGUGGGACGGGGACCCAGCUCCGGGUCUGUGAUGUAGGAAAGAUGUUAGGUUUCGAAGCCGACAGCCAAGAAAGAAUUCUUGAGAUGUCUUUGGUGCAAAAAGGUGGUUUUAUCAAAGUACAGGGAACAGGACCCUUGGGCAGAAGGAGCUGCACUGGGGCCAUGAGGAGUGGCCCAUUACAUCCGUGCAAGUUGGUCGGGUGUUAAGGAGAGUGUAUAUCUGGAAGGAAUUCUGGAAGCAAGGCUUCCAGGAUCGUGACGGUAUAGCUGUUGUUCGGAAAGGUCACUCAUUGCCGUUUUGUGAACCGUGAGUCAUGAAACCCUUCAAAUGUGUAUCAGUGGGUGGGUUGGUCGGUCGUAUGUUUGUGGGAUGAUUGCCAACAUGUAUCUUAGGGAAUAGAAAGAAAGGAAGUUUCCAAAGCAAUUUUUAUAACUUAAAGUAGACUUCCAGGACCCUGGGGGGUCAGGCUAGGAUUGCCUUCUGCCCUUAGCAUAGUAUCAACUUCAAAGCCGUUGAGUCCCUAGAGGAAUGUCACUCUGCCUGUGUCAGGGACCUGUCACGGGGCUGUAAGUAGUAAAGAAAUGUAAUGAUUUCUCUUCUGCCUUUGUUUCCCACACCAGUCCGUUUCUCCCGAGAACGAGAACACCUUGACCACAGGAGGCCCUGUCCAGUCCAGCCAUGCUGGACCUGUAGUCCUCUGGGCGCCCCCAUCAGUCCGACUUCCCCUUCUUACGUGGAAGAGAAAAGCCCCUUCCUGUCUGACUUGAGAUGCUUGUACCUCUUGGAUCGGUUUAUUGUUACUUGAGUCAAGUUUCUCCUUAUACCAAAUCCAGAUCUGUUCGCUAUUAGACAGACAUGCAAUUUACAUCAGGAACCCACUGCUUCUGGAGAGCUUGGUGCUCAUGGGAGUUGGAACUAUUUAAGAAGCAAAAUUCAGGGCGCCUGGGUGGCUCAGUUGGUUAAGCAUCUGCCUUCAGCUCGGGUCAUGAUCCCAGGGUCCUGGGAUGGAGCCCCACAACAGUCUCCUUGCUCGGCUGGGAGCCUGCUUCUCCUUCUGCCUGCUGCUCCCCCUGCUUGUGCUCUAUCACUCUCUCUGACAAAUAAAAAGUAAAAUCUUUUAAAAAGCCGGGGUCGGGGGGUGAGGUGAAUGGGUCGUGGCAGGUCACCUUCCUUUCUGGGAUGGCAGGGAUCUAGCAGCUGGAUAAGACCAGCUCAUUCCUGACGGACGGGUUUAAGAUUCCAUUUCUGGGAGAGGCUGAAAUGGCAAUGAAGUCGUGGUUUGGGGACAGGGAGCUGACUGAGUGACUCCAUUUUGGUCUUGUCUUAUUUUUAGCAGCACCCAGGCCCGGGAGCAGGAAGUCUUUGGACAACCGCUGUCAUGAGAUGUACUUAAAACUUUCAAGUGGACACUUUACACUGGAAAGAAAUGUAUUUUAGAUCGCUUUUUGAACAUGUCCCUAAAAGACUUUUAAGUAUAAAAGUAUGCUAUCCCUGUUAGGUGGGCCGCCGCCACGGGUGGCAAUUGUCUAGAGAGAAACACUGAAGAGUUGAUUCAUUCUGCAAGGGAGGAGAGGGGCCAGGCA